Molecule: ribosomal RNA, 366 nt
Filed under: Baldratia salicorniae
Lineage: Eukaryota; Metazoa; Arthropoda; Insecta; Diptera; Cecidomyiidae
Description: partial large subunit ribosomal RNA
Source: RNAcentral
CCGAAUAUCUGAUGUGAGAAAUUCAAUAUUAUUUAAUGUAAUUCAUUUUUGAAAUUAUUUUAAAUAGUAUGCACUUUUCUCAUAGUAAGACAUUGUAAUCCAUUGAUAUUAUAUCUUUAUUUGUUUAAAGAUGAUUUAACAUACGGACAAAAUGUAUAUGAUUAUUCUACAAAUGAUAUGUUUUACAUAUUAUAUGAAUAAAAUCGUUUUGUACCUGUUUAAAUAGUUGAUGGAUUUUUUAAUUAAAAUCAUGCUUGCAAUUUAUUUUGCGUUUCGUAUCAUUAAUUUUUAAUUGAUGAUAGCAGAAAUGGCAUGUAUUUGAUUAACAAUGCGAUAGAUUUGGGAUGCCUUCGGGACCCGUCUUGA